UGAGGGUGGCUUUUCCCCAGUGUAGCAAGCUGGGGGAAUAAGGGGAGGGCAAGUCGGGUGUCAGCCGCCGCGGUAAUACCCGCUCCCCGAGUGGUGGGGACGCUUAUUGGGCCUAAAGCAUCCGUAGCCGGCUGGGUAAGUCCCCUGUUAAAUCCAGCGAUUUAAUCGCUGGACUGCGGGGGAUACUGCCCAGCUAGGGGGCGGGAGAGGCCGGCGGUAUUCCCGGGGUAGGGAUGAAAUCCUAUAAUCCCGGGAGGACCACCAGUGGCGAAGGCUGCCGGCUGGAACGCGCCCGACGGUGAGGGAUGAAAGCUGGGGGAGCGAACCGGAUUAGAUACCCGGGUAGUCCCAGCUGUAAACGAUGCGGGCUAGGUGUUGGCACGGCUAUGAGCCGUGCCGGUGCCGCAGGGAAGCCGUUAAGCCCGCCGCCUGGGGAGUACGGCCGCAAGGCUGAAACUUAAAGGAAUUGGCGGGGGAGCACCACAAGGGGUGAAGCUUGCGGUUUAAUUGGAGUCAACGCCGGGAACCUUACCGGGGGAGACAGCAGGAUGAAGGCCAGAUUGAAGGUCUUGCCAGACAAGCUGAGAGGAGGUGCAUGGCCGUCGCCAGUUCGUGCCGUGAGGUGUCCUGUUAAGUCAGGCAACGAUCGAGACCCGCGCCCCCUGUUGCCACCGGCCUCUGCGCCGGGCACACUGGGGGGACUGCCGCCGAUAAGGCGGAGGAAGGAGCGGGCCACGGCAGGUCAGUAUGCCCCGAAUCCCCCGGGCCACACGCGAGCUGCAAUGGCAGGGACAAUGGGUUCCGACCCCGAAAGGGGGAGGCAAUCCCUAAACCCUGCCGUAGUUGGGAUCGAGGGCUGCAACCCGCCCUCGUGAAC
This 877-nucleotide ribosomal RNA is filed under the name uncultured crenarchaeote. Its description in RNAcentral is "bacterial SSU rRNA". It matches the Rfam family "Archaeal small subunit ribosomal RNA", at positions 398 to 1281 of the family's 1478-position model. Lineage: Archaea; Thermoproteati; Thermoproteota. The record is from RNAcentral.